Long non-coding RNA from Lolium rigidum, 293 nucleotides. RefSeq lists it as uncharacterized. NCBI's taxonomy places the organism in Eukaryota, Viridiplantae, Streptophyta, Magnoliopsida, Poales, Poaceae. The record is from RefSeq and is a predicted model, not a curated record. The transcript has 4 exons.
GGCGCGGAAGCGAGCGUGGGUCACGGGCGCAGCUGAGCGGUCACCAGCGUCUGAGUUGUGGUCGCAUAUUCAAAUUUGAUGUCGUUUUAGCGCUUUGCUUCUGAAUAUCAGCACAGGGACUGACAUUCAGGGUUUCAGGGAUUCAGAGAGCCGAUACUUUAGCCAGGACGGCAGUGAGUGCAUGACGGUGGCCUCAGCUGAUGGACGACGGUGGCCGCCGAGCGAUCGGCAGCAGGUAACAAGAGCAAAGGCUGCUGCUCAUUGUUGGGUUCCAGGACUAGGAAGGAACACUG